AACGAACGCUGGCGGCAUGCCUAACACAUGCAAGUCGAACGAGAUCUUCGGGUCUAGUGGCGCACGGGUGCGUAACGCGUGGGAAUCUGCCCUUUGGUUCGGAAUAACAGUUGGAAACGACUGCUAAUACCGGAUGAUGACGAAAGUCCAAAGAUUUAUCGCCAGAGGAUGAGCCCGCGUGGGAUUAGCUAGUUGGUGUGGUAAAGGCGCACCAAGGCGACGAUCCUUAGCUGGUCCGAGAGGAUGCUCAGCCACCCUUGGACUGAGACACGGCCCAGACUCCUACGGGAGGCGGCAGUGGAGGAUAUUGGACAAUGGGCGAAAGCCUGAUCCAGCAAUGCCGCGUGAGUGAUGAAGGCCUUAGGGUUGUAAAGCUCUUUUACCCGGGAUGAUAAUGACAGUACCGGGAGAAUAAGCUCCGGCUAACUCCGUGCCAGCCGCCGCCGUAA
This 449-nucleotide ribosomal RNA is filed under the name uncultured bacterium. RNAcentral's name for it is "partial 16S ribosomal RNA". It matches the Rfam family "Bacterial small subunit ribosomal RNA", at positions 29 to 523 of the family's 1533-position model. The record is from RNAcentral.